Molecule: ribosomal RNA, 482 nt
Filed under: uncultured bacterium
Lineage: Bacteria
Description: partial 16S ribosomal RNA
Rfam family: Bacterial small subunit ribosomal RNA
Source: RNAcentral
AUUGAACGCUGGCGGCAUGCCUUACACAUGCAAGUCGAACGGUAACGGGCCUUCGGGUGCCGACGAGUGGCGAACGGGUGAGUAAUACAUCGGAACGUGCCCGAUCGUGGGGGAUAACGAGGCGAAAGCUUUGCUAAUACCGCAUACGAUCUACGGAUGAAAGCAGGGGACCGCAAGGCCUUGCGCGGACGGAGCGGCCGAUGGCAGAUUAGGUCGUGGGUGGGAUAAAAGCUUACCAAGCCGACGAUCUGUAGCUGGGCUGAGAGGAUGAUCAGCCACACUGGGACUGAGACACGGCCCAGACUCCUACGGGAGGCAGCAGUGGGGAAUGGUGGACAAUGGGCGCAAGCCUGAUCCAGCCAUGCCGCGUGCAGGGUGAAGGCCUUCGGGUUGUAAACUGCUUUUGUGCGGAACGAAAAGCCUUCUUUUAAUACAGGAGGGUCAUGACGGUACCGUAAGAAUAAGCACCGGCUAACUACGUG